RNAcentral lists this ribosomal RNA (521 nucleotides) under uncultured Glomeromycotina. RNAcentral's name for it is "SSU rRNA". It matches the Rfam family "Eukaryotic small subunit ribosomal RNA", at positions 569 to 1092 of the family's 1831-position model. Lineage: Eukaryota; Fungi; Glomeromycota. The record is from RNAcentral.
AGCAGCCGCGGUAAUUCCAGCUCAAUAGCGUAUAUUAAAGUUGUUGCAGUUAAAAAGCUCGUAGUUGAAUUUCGGGGUUAGUAGGUUGGUCAUGCCUCUGGUAUGUACUGGUCUCACUGAUUCCUCCUUCCUGAUGAGCCGUAAUGCCAUUAAUUUGGUGUUGCGGGGAAUUUGGACUGUUACUUUGAAAAAAUUAGAGUGUUUAAAGCAAGCUAACGCUUGAAUACAUUAGCAUGGAAUAAUGAAAUAGGACGUUCGAUCCUAUUUUGUUGGUUUCUAGGAUUGACGUAAUGAUUAAUAGGGAUAGUUGGGGGCAUUAGUAUUCAAUUGUCAGAGGUGAAAUUCUUGGAUUUAUUGAAGACUAACUACUGCGAAAGCAUUUGCCAAGGAUGUUUUCAUUAAUCAAGAACGAAAGUUAGGGGAUCGAAGACGAUCAGAUACCGUCGUAGUCUUAACCAUAAACUAUGCCGACUAGGGAUCGGAUGAUGUUAAUUUUUUAAUGACUCAUUCGGCGCCUUACG